AGAGGAGCUUGCUCUUCUUGGAUGAGUUGCGAACGGGUGAGUAACGCGUAGGUAACCUGCCUUGUAGCGGGGGAUAACUAUUGGAAACGAUAGCUAAUACCGCAUAACAAUGGAUGACACAUGUCAUUUAUUUGAAAGGGGCAAUUGCUCCACUACAAGAUGGACCUGCGUUGUAUUAGCUAGUAGGUGAGGUAAUGGCUCACCUAGGCGACGAUACAUAGCCGACCUGAGAGGGUGAUCGGCCACACUGGGACUGAGACACGGCCCAGACUCCUACGGGAGGCAGCAGUAGGGAAUCUUCGGCAAUGGGGGCAACCCUGACCGAGCAACGCCGCGUGAGUGAAGAAGGUUUUCGGAUCGUAAAGCUCUGUUGUAAGUCAAGAACGGGUGUGAGAGUGGAAAGUUCACACUGUGACGGUAGCUUACCAGAAAGGGACGGCUAACUACGUGCCAGCAGCCGCGGUAAUACGUAGGUCCCGAGCGUUGUCCGGAUUUAUUGGGCGUAAAGCGAGCGCAGGCGGUUUGAUAAGUCUGAAGUUAAAGGCUGUGGCUCAACCAUAGUUCGCUUUGGAAACUGUCAAACUUGAGUGCAGAAGGGGAGAGUGGAAUUCCAUGUGUAGCGGUGAAAUGCGUAGAUAUAUGGAGGAACACCGGUGGCGAAAGCGGCUCUCUGGUCUGUAACUGACGCUGAGGCUCGAAAGCGUGGGGAGCGAACAGGAUUAGAUACCCUGGUAGUCCACGCCGUAAACGAUGAGUGCUAGGUGUUGGAUCCUUUCCGGGAUUCAGUGCCGCAGCUAACGCAUUAAGCACUCCGCCUGGGGAGUACGACCGCAAGGUUGAAACUCAAAGGAAUUGACGGGGGCCCGCACAAGCGGUGGAGCAUGU
RNAcentral lists this ribosomal RNA (885 nucleotides) under Streptococcus thermophilus. Its description in RNAcentral is "bacterial SSU rRNA". It matches the Rfam family "Bacterial small subunit ribosomal RNA", at positions 72 to 942 of the family's 1533-position model. Lineage: Bacteria; Bacillati; Bacillota; Bacilli; Lactobacillales; Streptococcaceae. The record is from RNAcentral.